This is a long non-coding RNA of Ictalurus punctatus (channel catfish), 1098 nucleotides long. NCBI's taxonomy places the organism in Eukaryota, Metazoa, Chordata, Actinopteri, Siluriformes, Ictaluridae. The record is from Ensembl.
UUUAAUUAAACAUUUUGUGACAUUUAUUCAGUCAUUUUUACAAGCAGUAAUCUGAAAGAUCUACAUUCUCAGGAACUAAGCUAGAGAAAGUGACAAUGAUGUCAGCUCUUAAGAGGCACGUGACUUAUUACAAUCUAGUUUUAUAAGCAUCUGUGUAUGUGUCUAUAUAUAUAUAUAUACAUAUACAUAUAUCGAUUUAGAAGUAUGAACACAGUUAAGUUAUAAACUUAAAAUAAACUUCAAGCUGUUAUAAUGUACUACAUAGUAUGGUAGGAUGGUCAGUUUCCAAAGAGUUAAAAUCAACCAUCUCUUGAUAACAUCAGCAUAACCAGGCGAAAUAUGAAGUCAAUCAUGUAAAAAUGAUUCAUAUGUUAUCUUAAUAUUACACCACAGAUUUAUUACAGGCUGUGUUGGCAAGCUUCGCACGCUCGGAUAUUCAGUCUAAACCCUAUCGCCUAACCUAAUACAGCCGGUUUAUGCCUUGAUGUUAAUGGUGAUUAGUAUUUUCUAAAGCUGUAGAUUUAGGUCACUGAAAACGAAAGCGGUGGUUCUUGCCGUGAUGUGUUGUUGCUGUGACCUGGACCUUCUCUCUACUGUGAAGGACAGCAAUGGCACGAUGGGGAUCAAGAAAAAACUAACACUGCAUUCUUUAUGCACCGCCGAGGUAAAAAUAUGAAAUGAAGCAUCAUUUUCUGGGUAUAUAAUCAUUUUACACGCACGCACACACCCACACAGGCAGUUUGGCCACAUUGGUUUCAGCAUCCAUAUAUGUGUGUGUAUAUAUAUAUAUAUAUAUAUAUAUAUGUAUAUAUAUGUAUAUAUAUAUAUAUAUAUAUAUAUAUAUAUAUAUGUAUAUAUAUAUAUAUAUAUAUAUAUAUAUAUAUAUAUAUAUAUAUAUAUAUAUAUAUAUAUAUAUAUAUAUAAAAUGUGUGUGUGUGUGUGUGUGUGUAAAUUCCUAUAUAUGGACCACACAAACACAUCAGGUUGCUGAUGCAGGCGUAGGCGCAGGCGCACACACUACUUUAGGUUGAAGAAGCCAGAGGAUUUGGCUGGAGGACCCAUCAGCAUGCAGGCUUGGUUCUUGUGUGUGAUAGUAAU